Molecule: long non-coding RNA, 1240 nt
Filed under: Anser cygnoides (Swan goose)
Lineage: Eukaryota; Metazoa; Chordata; Aves; Anseriformes; Anatidae
Description: lncRNA (ENSACDG00005015856.1)
Source: RNAcentral
AAAAUCUUUCUGGAAGAUCUGAUUGCUUAUCUCUGUGGAGGCUGGAGAACUACUUGAUCUAGUUAUCUGCUGAUUUAUUAUUUAAUACUGAUCUUACUGCUUGCAACAAGAAACUGAGCUGAAAAAAAAAGUGAUUUUGAAUAGAAGCAGAAUGAGAACAUGAGAAAUGUGGUGCUCUGUUCUCUUAUUUUGUUACACUGCUUAUACAUCUUACCUACAACCUGGAAAUAACUGUAAUGUGCAUCAGUUAGAAAGAUGAAAUUUUAAUCCAAUGCAACCACUCAUUUAGGCAAUCCCCCUUUACCUGUGCUUAAGGGGGUAUAAACUGUUCAUGCUGAUUUAUCCAUGACUAAAAACAACAAAACAAGCGAUCAGUGCACACACACAAACACACAAAAACCAAAAGGAACAAGCAGAUUCUUUUUUCUCCCUGUAUUUAUUAACUGUGUUUAUUUCUUAUAGGUAUGAAGAAAUGCAGCUUUGGUAGAUGCUCUCCACAAAAAACAGCUAUUAAUACAAAAUAUGCACUGGAAACAACGUGAAACAGCUGUGAAUAUUAAUGACAACGAUGGCUUCCCAGGGUACUCCUGACCAAAGCCUACAUGGGAUGGGAUUCUCCAUGGCUCCAUUAAAAUGCUUUAGAAGAGAUGUGAAAACAUCCAGGUAUUACGCCCGAUCAUCAUUGUAGGAACUUUAUUCUGCAGAACUUCCCUCAGCAAUGGGACCAGCUGCUUGGUAGUGCAUGUCUCUGUCUUUAUUUCUGAAUGAAACGGUGCAAUCGUUUCUUAAUGUCAUUCAAAAAGUAGCAUUCAGUGAAAUAUAUAAAAGUAAAAGUAUUGACAGUGAUUCUGUCGUAUUCCACUAAGCAUAGUGAUUCUAUGGCAAGAUUUUUAUUCCUAAGGAUGUUUGUUCUUAGUCUUGGCCAACUGAGAAGUUGAUAUUUGUUGACUUGCGUUCCUUUAGGAUCAGUAACGGAAUGUUGCAGGUUGGGGGUUUACAAUUAGACACUAGGUAUUUUAAAAGGAAACUGUUUUCAUCAAUCUUGAAAGUUCUUUAACCAUUUAACUUCUGUUAUGUACUGUAACAUACAAACUGCACAAAUAGUGUAGUCAUAAAUAUGCUUAAACUUAAUUCAGGAAAAUGAUGUUGAAAGUAUACCACAGUUGCGUAUCUGUAUGUAAUGGAAUUACUAUCAUUGACUUUGAGUACAAAACCAACUGCAAGUAGUGAUGUGAUCAUA